UUGUUGUUUGUAGUUGAUUAUGAUUAUGAUGAUGGUCUUCAUGAUGAUAAAGGUUUAGGAUAGGAAUGAGAGGAUGUAAAUGAUAUGAUAAAAAUGGGAAGUCAACAUUUAAUAUAAACGACAGAUGAAAAAAGCACAUUAAAGCUGGUAUAUUUGGGAAAGAGUAGAUUAACACCAGGCACUUUAGAUUAGCCUUUGGGCUUAUCCCAUUAUUUUUUUGCCUUAAUUCACACCAUUAACUACUUGAGAUUAAUAACUCUCACCUACCUUUAAACACCGUUUCUCCAUGCAGUAUUUAAUAAUAAUAACCAAAUAUUUAAUGGUUCAAGUUUGGGAAAAGCCUCUAACAGAUUUUUGUAAAUAAAUUAUCAUUAUUAUACACUUGACCAAAAAAAUCACAGCUUUGACUAAAUACUGGUAAUCAGGAUAAGUGUGUUGUUUAGCUUCAAUGAGGUACCCAACAGGGUAAACAAGCCCUUUUCAAUGGUUAACUUGGUCAACUGUUGAAAAUUUAUUCAUUUGUGUGUGGAAAGGUUAUUAUUUUUUAAUUUUGGGAUAACAAGAGUAUAAUAAAUAAUGUCAUUAUUGUCCUCGAGUUGAUUUGGUUCAAUGUUAUUGUCUCGGUUUUCAUUGGUCUCUUUGGGUUCAAUCAGUUGUUCACAGUCGGCACAUAAUCGUUCACUUUCUCCUGGUGAGGAUAACAAGUUGUUUGAUCGACGGAUCUUAGUUGGUUUACUUGUUUCCACACCGACACCCGAAUCGUUACGUUCAACCGGAGUUCCGGUUGUACUAUUGGUUAAUGAACAGUCUUCCGUUUCAAUGGAUGAGCUAGUUGCUGUGGUACUUGAAUCAUUUGAUGAGCUACUAACAUUACUGACAUUAGAGAUACUCUAAUAUCUCGUCUCUUGAUGCUCCUUCAAAAAUGGAUCUUUUGGACAUUGAAUGGUGGUUAAUAUAACCAAGGUUUGAUUCAUUGAUUGUCAACCCAUUAAUCUCCAAA
Non-coding RNA from Tetranychus urticae (two-spotted spider mite), 1000 nucleotides. The record is from RefSeq and is a predicted model, not a curated record. Lineage: Eukaryota; Metazoa; Arthropoda; Arachnida; Trombidiformes; Tetranychidae.